Molecule: ribosomal RNA, 460 nt
Filed under: uncultured bacterium
Lineage: Bacteria
Description: partial 16S ribosomal RNA
Rfam family: Bacterial small subunit ribosomal RNA
Source: RNAcentral
CCUACGGGGGGCAGCAGUGAGGAAUAUUGGUCAAUGGACGAGAGUCUGAACCAGCCAAGUCGCGUGAAGGAUGACUGCCCUAUGGAUUGUAAACUUCUUUUAUCAGGGAAUAAAACGAGGGACGUGUGCCUUUUUGCAUGUACUUUAUGAAUAAGCAUCGGCUAACUCCGUGCCAGCAGCCGCGGUAAUACGGAGGAUCCGAGCGUUAUCCGGAUUUAUUGGGUUUAAAGGGAGCGUAGAUGGGUUGUUAAGGCAGGUGUGAAAGUUUGCGGCUCAACCGUAACAUUGCCAUUGAUACUGGCAGUCUUGAGUACAGUUGAGGUAGGCGGAAUGCGUGGUGUAGCGGUGAAAUGCAUAGAUAUCACGAAGAACCCCGAUUGCGAAGGCAGCUUACUAACCCGCGACUGACACUGAUGCUCGAAAGUGUGGGUAUCAAGCAGGAUUAGAUACCCUAGUAGUC